AACGCUAGCUACAGGCUUAACACAUGCAAGUCGAGGGGCAGCAUGGUCUUAGCUUGCUAAGGCCGAUGGCGACCGGCGCACGGGUGAGUAACACGUAUCCAACCUGCCGUCUACUCUUGGACAGCCUUCUGAAAGGAAGAUUAAUACAAGGUGGCAUCAUGAGCYCGCAUGUUCACAUGAUUAAAGGUAUUCCGGUAGACGAUGGGGAUGCGUUCCAUUAGAUAGUAGGCGGGGUAACGGCCCACCUAGUCUUCGAUGGAUAGGGGUUCUGAGAGGAAGGUCCCCCACAUUGGAACUGAGACACGGUCCAAACUCCUACGGGAGGCAGCAGUGAGGAAUAUUGGUCAAUGGGCGAGAGCCUGAACCAGCCAAGUAGCGUGAAGGAUGACCGCCCUAUGGGUUGUAAACUUCUUUUAUAAAGGAAUAAAGUCGGGUAUGGAUACCCGUUUGCAUGUACUUUAUGAAUAAGGAUCGGCUAACUCCGUGCCAGCAGCCGCGGUAAUACGGAGGAUCCGAGCGUUAUCCGGAUUUAUUGGGUUUAAAGGGAGCGUAGAUGGAUGUUUAAGUCAGUUGUGAAAGUUUGCGGCUCAACCGUAAAAUUGCAGUUGAUACUGGAUAUCUUGAGUGCAGUUGAGGCAGGCGGAAUUCGUGGUGUAGCGGUGAAAUGCUUAGAUACCACGAAGAACUCCGAUUG
RNAcentral lists this ribosomal RNA (694 nucleotides) under uncultured bacterium. RNAcentral's name for it is "bacterial SSU rRNA". It matches the Rfam family "Bacterial small subunit ribosomal RNA", at positions 32 to 715 of the family's 1533-position model. The record is from RNAcentral.